Molecule: long non-coding RNA, 604 nt
Organism: Carassius auratus (goldfish)
Lineage: Eukaryota; Metazoa; Chordata; Actinopteri; Cypriniformes; Cyprinidae
Exons: 3
Source: RefSeq, a predicted model, not a curated record
CGGUAAUCGGAAGUCUACUGGACGAAUGCGGGAACGUUGCGAUAUUUCCUGCUUAAUAUUUUCAGGCACAAUGAAUGAUAUUAAGGGCAGGUGCGCCACAUUGGGGGAAGAUGCAAAGAAAAAAUACAUUCAAGAGGCAGCAGCACUGAGGGCACAUGAGAUGGAGGCAAUUUGUGCUGUGUCUGCCGCAUCCAUUUUUAUGAUAAGAAGAAGAAUGCAAGAAAGAAGUGGCGUUCAUGGUCUCAGUGCACAGUGUGCCAAUCAUGGUCACACACAGCAUGUGGCUUUAAAAAGAACAAGUGCGUACACUGCCAGGGUCAAGACACCAUGCUAACACCCUGAAGAUGUAUCUUGUUACUUGUUUGAGUUGUUUUUACUGUGUUGACGGCCCCCAACCCAUCCAUACAAACACACACACACAAUACAUACAUAUGCUGCAAAUUUAUUGUAAUGACCACACUUCACACGUAAGAAGAAAAUUGUGAUCUUUUUGUUAUUUUCAUUCACCCCAUUUUUAUUUAUUAUUGUUGUUUGUUGGCACCAUCAAUGUGUUCUCCUUUAUACAGGACUUAUGUGGGGACCAAUAAAGUUAUAUUGUACUGAA